Salarias fasciatus (jewelled blenny) is the source of this 117-nucleotide long non-coding RNA. RefSeq lists it as uncharacterized. The transcript is spliced from 5 exons. The record is from RefSeq and is a predicted model, not a curated record. NCBI's taxonomy places the organism in Eukaryota, Metazoa, Chordata, Actinopteri, Blenniiformes, Blenniidae.
CCCGGGGGGAACCAUGGGACGGAACCAGCUACCUGAUGUUUCGAUUAGUCUUUCGCCCCUAUACCCAGGUCAGACGACCGAUUUGCACGUCAGGACCGCUGCGGGCCUCCACCAGAG